UACGGAGGAUCCGAGCGUUAUCCGGAUUUAUUGGGUUUAAAGGGUGCGUAGGCGGCUUUGUAAGUCAGUGGUGAAAUCCUGUCGCUUAACGACAGAACUGCCAUUGAUACUGCAGAGCUUGAAUAUGUUUGAAGUGGGCGGAAUGUGUAGUGUAGCGGUGAAAUGCUUAGAUAUUACACAGAACACCAAUUGCGAAGGCAGCUCACUAAACCAUGAUUGACGCUGAGGCACGAAAGUGUGGGGAUCAAACAGG
Molecule: ribosomal RNA, 253 nt
Filed under: uncultured bacterium
Lineage: Bacteria
Description: partial 16S ribosomal RNA
Rfam family: Bacterial small subunit ribosomal RNA
Source: RNAcentral